UUGGCCCGAGAAGCUCCAGCUCGUACUCUGGAGGAACUCCAGACGGAAUCCUUAGCAGUGAGAGUUCAUCCAGAGUCAAGGAGCCGGGGAUGAUGUCCGACGCAAAGGCCAGACAAGGUUCGGUUCUAGCUAUGGGCUCGUCUACGAUACAAGGACUUUGGAGAAUUGGAGCUGACGAACUCCUAGAACUGCUAGAAGAAUAGAUAUCAAAAGACAUUUUGGAUCAAAUGGAAGCCACAAAAUUUUGGAAAAAUCAGAAAAAAUAGCAAACAAGCCCUCGAGGAAGCUAAACGAACAGAAUACAAAGAAGAAAGGACAGAAAAAUGAUAAGAAGUUCUGGAACUAACCUCGAUCGGCCCCA
Molecule: long non-coding RNA, 361 nt
Filed under: Elaeis guineensis (African oil palm)
Lineage: Eukaryota; Viridiplantae; Streptophyta; Magnoliopsida; Arecales; Arecaceae
Description: long non-coding RNA (EGUI_LNC051598)
Source: RNAcentral